GUCAGCAUCUAGAGUGGGGAGACACCACC
This 29-nucleotide non-coding RNA is filed under the name Mus musculus (house mouse). Lineage: Eukaryota; Metazoa; Chordata; Mammalia; Rodentia; Muridae. The record is from RNAcentral.